RNAcentral lists this transfer RNA (76 nucleotides) under Salmonella enterica subsp. enterica serovar Pullorum. Its description in RNAcentral is "tRNA-Phe". It matches the Rfam family "tRNA". From Rfam's summary of the family: Transfer RNA (tRNA) molecules are approximately 80 nucleotides in length. Their secondary structure includes four short double-helical elements and three loops (D, anti-codon, and T loops). Further hydrogen bonds mediate the characteristic L-shaped molecular structure. tRNAs have two regions of fundamental functional importance: the anti-codon, which is responsible for specific mRNA codon recognition, and the 3' end, to which the tRNAs corresponding amino acid is attached (by aminoacyl-tRNA synthetases). tRNAs cope with the degeneracy of the genetic code in two manners: having more than one tRNA (with a specific anti-codon) for a particular amino acid; and 'wobble' base-pairing, i.e. permitting non-standard base-pairing at the 3rd anti-codon position. The record is from RNAcentral. Lineage: Bacteria; Pseudomonadati; Pseudomonadota; Gammaproteobacteria; Enterobacterales; Enterobacteriaceae. RNAcentral also lists the same sequence under 2 other names.
GCCCGGAUAGCUCAGUCGGUAGAGCAGGGGAUUGAAAAUCCCCGUGUCCUUGGUUCGACUCCGAGUCCGGGCACCA